UACGUAGGGUGCGAGCGUUGUCCGGAAUUAUUGGGCGUAAAGGGCUCGUAGGCGGUUUGUCGCGUCGGGAGUGAAAACACCGGGCUUAACUCGGUGCUUGCUUUCGAUACGGGCAGACUAGAGGUAUGCAGGGGAGAACGGAAUUCCUGGUGUAGCGGUGAAAUGCGCAGAUAUCAGGAGGAACACCGGUGGCGAAGGCGGUUUCUCUGGGGCAUUACCUGACGCUGAGGAGCGAAAGUGU
RNAcentral lists this ribosomal RNA (241 nucleotides) under uncultured bacterium. RNAcentral describes it as "partial 16S ribosomal RNA". It matches the Rfam family "Bacterial small subunit ribosomal RNA", at positions 524 to 762 of the family's 1533-position model. The record is from RNAcentral.